Molecule: ribosomal RNA, 470 nt
Filed under: uncultured bacterium
Lineage: Bacteria
Description: partial 16S ribosomal RNA
Rfam family: Bacterial small subunit ribosomal RNA
Source: RNAcentral
GGGGAAUAUUGCACAAUGGGCGAAAGCCUGAUGCAGCAACGCCGCGUGAGUGAUGAAGGUCUUCGGAUUGUAAAGCUCUGUCUUUUGGGACGAUAAUGACGGUACCAAAGGAGGAAGCCACGGCUAACUACGUGCCAGCAGCCGCGGUAAUACGUAGGUGGCGAGCGUUGUCCGGAUUUACUGGGCGUAAAGGGUGCGUAGGCGGAUGUUUAAGUGAGAUGUGAAAUACCCGGGCUUAACUUGGGUGCUGCAUUUCAAACUGGAUAUCUAGAGUGCAGGAGNGGAGAUGAUCNAGUGUAGCGGUGAAAUGCGUAGAGAUUAGGAAGAACACCAGUGGCGAAGGCGAUUCUCUGGACUGUAACUGACGCUGAGGCACGAAAAGCGUGGGUAGCAAACAGGAUUAGAUACCCUGGUAGUCCACGCCGUAAACGAUGAGUACUAGGUGUAGGAGGUAUCGACCCCUUCUGUGC